AGAGUUUGAUCCUGGCUCAGGACGAACGCUGGCGGUGCGCCUAACACAUGCAAGUCGAACGGUGAACCGGGCUUCGGCCCGGGGAUCAGUGGCGAACGGGUGCGUAACACGUGGGCAACCUGCCCCCGACCCUGGGAUAACCCCGGGAAACCGGAGCUAAUACCGGAUAUUCUCCUCCGACCACAUGGUCAGAAGAGGAAAGGUCCGCCGGUCGGGGAUGGGCCCGCGGCCUAUCAGCUUGUUGGUGGGGUAACGGCCUACCAAGGCGACGACGGGUAGCUGGUCUGAGAGGACGACCAGCCACACUGGGACUGAGACACGGCCCAGACUCCUACGGGAGGCAGCAGUGGGGAAUCUUGCGCAAUGGGCGAAAGCCUGACGCAGCGACACCGCGUGGGGGACGAAGGCCUUUCAGGUCGUAAACCCCUUUCGGCAGGGACGAAGCGAUCUCGUGACGGUACCUGCAGAAGAAGCCUCGGCUAACUACGUGCCAGCAGCCGCGGUAACACGUAGGAGGCGAGCGUUGUCCGGAAUCAUUGGGCGUAAAGAGCGCGCAGGCGGCUUGGCAAGUCGGGUGUGAAAUCCCGGGGCUCAACCCCGGGACUGCAUUCGAUACUGUCAGGCUAGAGGUAGGUAGGGGAGAUCGGAAUUCCUGGUGUAGCGGUGAAAUGCGCAGAUAUCAGGAGGAACACCGGUGGCGAAGGCGGAUCUCUGGGCCUUACCUGACGCUCAGGCGCGAAAGCUAGGGGAGCGAACAGGAUUAGAUACCCUGGUAGUCCUAGCCGUAAACGUUGGGUGCUAGGUGUGGGCGGAUAUCAACCCCGUCCGUGCCGAAGCUAACGCAUUAAGCACCCCGCCU
RNAcentral lists this ribosomal RNA (859 nucleotides) under uncultured bacterium. Its description in RNAcentral is "bacterial SSU rRNA". It matches the Rfam family "Bacterial small subunit ribosomal RNA", at positions 9 to 873 of the family's 1533-position model. The record is from RNAcentral.